Molecule: ribosomal RNA, 498 nt
Filed under: uncultured bacterium
Lineage: Bacteria
Description: partial 16S ribosomal RNA
Rfam family: Bacterial small subunit ribosomal RNA
Source: RNAcentral
AUUGAACGCUGGCGGCAUGCUUUACACAUGCAAGUCGAACGGUAACACGCCGCGAGGUGCUGACGAGUGGCGAACGGGUGAGUAAUGCAUCGGAACGUGCCCAGUCGUGGGGGAUAACGCAGCGAAAGCUGCGCUAAUACCGCAUACGAUCUCAGGAUGAAAGCGGGGGACCGAAAGGCCUCGCGCGAUUGGAGCGGCCGAUGUCAGAUUAGGUAGUUGGGGGGGUAAAGGCCCACCAAGCCAACGAUCUGUAGCUGGUCUGAGAGGACGACCAGCCACACUGGGACUGAGACACGGCCCAGACUCCUACGGGAGGCAGCAGUGGGGAAUUUUGGACAAUGGGCGCAAGCCUGAUCCAGCAAUGCCGCGUGCAGGAAGAAGGCCUUCGGGUUGUAAACUGCUUUUGUACGGAACGAAACGGUCCGGGUUAAUACCCUGGGCUAAUGGCGGUACCGUAAGAAUAAGCACCGGCUAACUACGUGCCAGCCGCCGCCGUAA